GAAACCAAUCCAAGUACCCAACUGCUCUCUAUCCUCGGUUUGGUUUCACCUUGUUUGUUAAAUGGGGAGUUUGCUGAUUUACAGUUACGGAUCACUUCUUGCACGUUUGUUUGACAGGCGAUCAUCUGGCUCUGAGGCAUGAGAUGAUCUUUGCGGCCCACUAGGGCUCGUUGGACUUUCGUCUAAUGGAGACAUCACAGCAGUUCUGUCGCUGUCUGUCUCGUUUGCCUUUAAGACGGCAGCUUCUGUGCCAAUCGAAUCUCGAACUGCAUCAGAAGCCAGCACGGCGCCUGCUGCAUU
Molecule: long non-coding RNA, 300 nt
Filed under: Linum usitatissimum (flax)
Lineage: Eukaryota; Viridiplantae; Streptophyta; Magnoliopsida; Malpighiales; Linaceae
Description: long non-coding RNA (LUSI_LNC000930)
Source: RNAcentral